UCCCUGGUGGCUAAGUGUUAAAGCAUCUGCCUGUCAAUGGAGGAGACGCAGGUUCAACCCCUGAUCUGGGAA
RNAcentral lists this transfer RNA (72 nucleotides) under Bos taurus (domestic cattle). It matches the Rfam family "tRNA". Rfam says of the family: Transfer RNA (tRNA) molecules are approximately 80 nucleotides in length. Their secondary structure includes four short double-helical elements and three loops (D, anti-codon, and T loops). RNAcentral also lists the same sequence under 1 other name. The record is from Rfam by way of RNAcentral. Lineage: Eukaryota; Metazoa; Chordata; Mammalia; Artiodactyla; Bovidae.